UCCUCCAUAGCUCAGUUGAUAGAGCAUUCGGUAUAGAAAUUAGUGCCGAGUAGGUCACAGGUUUGAGUCCUGUUGGGGGAA
This 81-nucleotide transfer RNA is filed under the name Caudoviricetes sp. Its description in RNAcentral is "tRNA-Leu". It matches the Rfam family "tRNA". Rfam says of the family: Transfer RNA (tRNA) molecules are approximately 80 nucleotides in length. Their secondary structure includes four short double-helical elements and three loops (D, anti-codon, and T loops). The record is from RNAcentral. Lineage: Duplodnaviria; Heunggongvirae; Uroviricota; Caudoviricetes.